UCCUGGAGGUCCCGGAAAGUCCCGGAAUGCGUGACCUCCAUGAGAAACUCGCAGCCUUACCUAUGAUCCAUCCUAUUCAGAGGUGAACUCCUUGCUGUGCAUAUUCCUCCCUGGUUUCCUCCUUUCUCCUCUCUCAAGUAGAUUACAACCUCAUAGAAUGGGGUGCCUGUCCUAACAUCCCUUUGCUUAAGAGCUAUAUUAGGUAUUAUAAGCUAUAUAAGAACUAGGUAUUAUUAAUUAUUAUUAUAAUUCAGUUUGUCUAAACUUGCUUGCAGUAACUAUGGCCCUUUAAUAAUGUAUCUUGUUCACCACUGGCAGUGACGCCAUGCAUUUCUCUAUUACAGAUGUUGUGGGAUAUUUAUGAUGAAUGAGCUUCCAAGAGCUCAGAUAUUUAAUUUGUAACUACCGUGGUUAUUGAUGAUUAAAAUCCUCUUGUCUUUGCAGUGUUACUUAUUCAGAUAUUAAGAGAAAGUGCUUCCCAUCCGAUUAUGUUAAGCUAUGAUACACAAUGCGAUUCCAGGGAAACUGCUGAGAAAGAAUUUGAAUGUGGCCACAUAUAGAUAUAGAGAGACACACACAGAGAAGACAGAGAGAGAGAGAGAAAAUAUAUAUAUAUAUAUAUAUAUAUACACACACAUACAGCUGCAAGAACUAUAACUAAAAUUUAUAUAACUAAAAUUUACAAACAAACAAACAAACAAACAAACCUGUUAUACACUACAAUUGCUUCAUGAAUUUAUAACAUAUGGCAGCAAAGCACUAUAAAAACUGUAAACUAUAAAGAGGGUUACACAGUUCCGUUCAUUUAUCAGUUACAAUGAGUAAUUUGUGCACCAGGCAGGAAAAAGAAAACCCACACAGUUGGAGAGUGCAUAUGUGUUUCUGAGGUUCACAGUAGAGAGCCUUUUAUAAAGCAUACACAUGAUUUGAAUUCCAAAUUGAAAGCACUGAGCGGCAAUGUGCAGGGUAGUAUUGUAUAAUGGUACGUCCAGAAAGCAGUGAUUGGAGCCUAGGUCAGCUCAGGAUGGGAGGACUUCAGAAGGGUCAUAAGUUCAGUUCAGUGAUGCAUAAGUUUGGAAGCUGAUGUGAACUGGCUUGAAACUUGAGUCUGCAAAUAAAAAAUCUCUCUCAACAGACUCUUCAGUACUGUGGGUCACUGUGAAGGAAGGGGGUGGGGAGCCUUGUGGUUAAGACACAGCCCUGAGGGAGAGCAGACCUGGAAUCUAUUUCCAGUUCUGCAAGUGACUUGCUGCAUGACCUAGGACAAGUCACUUCAUCCCUCUGUGUCCCCAAUCUCCCCAGCUGUUCAAUGAAGACAAUAAAACUGAGUCACUGCACAGGUCAGUGGGGAGACUCCAUUUAUGAAUGGUGCGUUGAGGUAUACAAAUCCCACACUGGACAACAUGGGGUUGAAGAGCUCAUAUGGGCUCAGCUGGCUCUGCCCUGUUACACCUGUGAGAAAUGUCAGGAUUGGAGGGAGGAGCUUAAGAGGGAGACCCCAGCUCAGUGGAUGCUAGACCAGAGAGGAGAGCAGACUUUCAGCACUCAGGUCCUGAAAAGAGGGCUGGCUGAAGGCAGGAGCUCCCCAGCCAAACUCUGUCCGACAGCCCCUCCCAAAGGAAAGGGAGUGCCAGACGCUGACUCACAUCAAGCGGAGGAGGCCAUUUCCCACAAUUACUGGUGAUUUCAGUUUAUUUGGACUCAUUCCCCUUGUUUUUGUUUGUUGACUACACCGGAAGGGGAGAGACUUUAAAGUGACCUGGCCAGAGGGCCAAGUCAGAGGAAGAUGCAGACCACUUCAGGCCCAAAGCAACAAUCGGCAGGAGGUACGUGACAGGCUAUCCCAUGCCUGGCCACAAGGAUGCAUUAACACAUCAGCAGACGCAGCUUGAAACGUGUGUACAAGGCACUGCUUUACAGCAUCCCUUAUUCACCAGCACCUUGGAGACUCCAGUUCAUUGAAAGUAAUAAAACCAGAUCAUCAAAAAGAAUUCUUUUGAACAGGCUUUGGGCUCUGCUGUGCUACUCGGUUACGGAUAUUCAUCUUCCUGGAAACUGCUGUUUGAUACAGCACAGCAGCAUGAAAGCACCAGCCACCUCCCUGGUGCAUUAACCUCUCAAGUGUUGCAAUCACACUCCCUGAAUAGCAAAAUAUCUAUCAUUUUAUAAUUGCUUUAGGGUGAAGCAGACCUCAUUCUUCAGGACAUAAGCACAUUGCACAUGGGUCAAGGGAAUCCCUGUCACACCCCAAUGGCCCACCCCUCAGGGGGUCCCCUGGAGGAGGCAGAUCAGCAUUGUAUAUGCAUUGUAUAUUGCUAACGCUGUUGCAAGCAUCGCAGGGCAAUUUGGGAAGGGUCAAAGGUGUGAGUGGGGAGUGGAAGAUUCUUUUGCAGGCUACGAGAGGCCAAAGGGGGAAGGAGAAAGAGAGCAGAGAACUCAACAUUGCAGCUAGCAAGCUCAGUCCGACGAUAAGUCGCUGGCCCCAGUCCAAGGUCACGGCGCUAGAGAAAAAGUCUGAAGCUGCGUUUAUCUCUCACCCAGCCACAGCCAGCCAUGAAAAAAGAAAAAGUACACUGAACCAGGACUGCAGAAAUGGAAAACACCAGUGAGACGUCAAGUGGGGGAGCAGAGUUUUGCGUCCCUGGAGCCGUUUGUGUUUUGGGAAAGCAGAGAAGACCACAGAAAGCCGAUUUGGACUGGCACAAAGAGGACUAGGAACAGAGGUCGUGGAAUGGAACACCCCCAAAGGAACCCAGGACUUAAAACCCUCCAGAUUGCUGGAGCAAUUCGGAGAUCAGCAGCAGACCCCGGAUGACCCAUGCGCACAGGACAGAACUCCCGUCCACCCUUCCCCCUCUUCUUUUUACGUUACACCCAGGCCUGGCCAGCCUCGGGUAGUGAGUGUGUGAGUAUGAAAGUAGGUUAGAGGUUGGGGCACUAACGCUUUCUUCCUUCCUCUGAGUGACGUGGGGAGCACCCAUCACUCUCCACUGUUAUUUUAUUAUUUUAUCAAUAAAGCUUUAAAACUUAGA
Long non-coding RNA from Caretta caretta (loggerhead turtle), 3032 nucleotides. RefSeq lists it as uncharacterized. The record is from RefSeq and is a predicted model, not a curated record. NCBI's taxonomy places the organism in Eukaryota, Metazoa, Chordata, Testudines, Cheloniidae.